This 1355-nucleotide ribosomal RNA is filed under the name uncultured bacterium. RNAcentral describes it as "bacterial SSU rRNA". It matches the Rfam family "Bacterial small subunit ribosomal RNA", at positions 28 to 1381 of the family's 1533-position model. The record is from RNAcentral.
AUUGAACGCUGGCGGCAGGCUUAACACAUGCAAGUCGAACGAUGAUUUCCCAGCUUGCUGGGAAUGAUUAGUGGCGGACGGGUGAGUAACAUUUAGGAAUCUGCCUAGUAGUGGGGGAUAGCUCGGGGAAACUCGAAUUAAUACCGCAUACGACCUACGGGUGAAAGGGGGCACAAGCUCUUGCUAUUAGAUGAGCCUAAAUCAGAUUAGCUAGUUGGUGGGGUAAAGGCCCACCAAGGCGACGAUCUGUAACUGGUCUGAGAGGAUGAUCAGUCACACCGGAACUGAGACACGGUCCGGACUCCUACGGGAGGCAGCAGUGGGGAAUAUUGGACAAUGGGGGCAACCCUGAUCCAGCCAUGCCGCGUGUGUGAAGAAGGCCUUUUGGUUGUAAAGCACUUUAAGCAGGGAGGAGAGGCUAAUGGUUAAUACCCAUUAGAUUAGACGUUACCUGCAGAAUAAGCACCGGCUAACUCUGUGCCAGCAGCCGCGGUAAUACAGAGGGUGCGAGCGUUAAUCGGAAUUACUGGGCGUAAAGCGAGUGUAGGUGGCUCAUUAAGUCACAUGUGAAAUCCCCGGGCUUAACCUGGGAACUGCAUGUGAUACUGGUGGUGCUAGAAUAUGUGAGAGGGAAGUAGAAUUCCAGGUGUAGCGGUGAAAUGCGUAGAGAUCUGGAGGAAUACCGAUGGCGAAGGCAGCUUCCUGGCAUAAUAUUGACACUGAGAUUCGAAAGCGUGGGUAGCAAACAGGAUUAGAUACCCUGGUAGUCCACGCCGUAAACGAUGUCUACUAGCCGUUGGGGUCCUUGAGACUUUAGUGGCGCAGUUAACGCGAUAAGUAGACCGCCUGGGGAGUACGGCCGCAAGGUUAAAACUCAAAUGAAUUGACGGGGGCCCGCACAAGCGGUGGAGCAUGUGGUUUAAUUCGAUGCAACGCGAAGAACCUUACCUGGUCUUGACAUAGUGAGAAUCCUGCAGAGAUGCGGGAGUGCCUUCGGGAAUUCACAUACAGGUGCUGCAUGGCUGUCGUCAGCUCGUGUCGUGAGAUGUUGGGUUAAGUCCCGCAACGAGCGCAACCCUUUUCCUUAUUUGCCAGCGGGUUAAGCCGGGAACUUUAAGGAUACUGCCAGUGACAAACUGGAGGAAGGCGGGGACGACGUCAAGUCAUCAUGGCCCUUACGACCAGGGCUACACACGUGCUACAAUGGUAGGUACAGAGGGUUGCUACACAGCGAUGUGAUGCUAAUCUCAAAAAGCCUAUCGUAGUCCGGAUUGGAGUCUGCAACUCGACUCCAUGAAGUCGGAAUCGCUAGUAAUCGCAGAUCAGAAUGCUGCGGUGAAUACGUUCCCGGGCCU